RNAcentral lists this ribosomal RNA (492 nucleotides) under uncultured bacterium. Its description in RNAcentral is "partial 16S ribosomal RNA". It matches the Rfam family "Bacterial small subunit ribosomal RNA", at positions 29 to 507 of the family's 1533-position model. The record is from RNAcentral.
AGUGAACGCUGGCGGUAGGCCUAACACAUGCAAGUCGAACGGCAGCACAGUAAGAGCUUGCUCUUACGGGUGGCGAGUGGCGGACGGGUGAGGAGUACAUCGGAAUCUACUUUUUCGUGGGGGAUAACGUAGGGAAACUUACGCUAAUACCGCAUACGACCUACGGGUGAAAGCAGGGGAUCUUCGGACCUUGCGCGAUUGAAUUAGCCGAUGUCGGAUUAGCUAGGUGGCGGGGUAAAGGCCCACCAAGGCGACGAUCCGUAGCUGGUCUGAGAGGAUGAUCAGCCACACUGGAACUGAGACACGGUCCAGACUCCUACGGGAGGCAGCAGUGGGGAAUAUUGGACAAAGGGCGCAAGCCUGAUCCAGCCAUACCGCGUGGGUGAAGAAGGCCUUCGGGUUGUAAAGCCCUUUUGUUGGGAAAGAAAAGCAGCAGGUUAAUACCCCGCUGUUCUGACGGUACCCAAAGAAUAAGCACCGGCUAACUUCGUG